Molecule: ribosomal RNA, 509 nt
Filed under: uncultured bacterium
Lineage: Bacteria
Description: bacterial SSU rRNA
Rfam family: Bacterial small subunit ribosomal RNA
Source: RNAcentral
AACGAACGCUGGCGGCGUGCUUAACACAUGCAAGUCGAACGCGAAAGGGGCUUCGGUCCUGAGUAAAGUGGCGCACGGGUGAGUAACGCGUGGAUAAUCUACCUGACAUUUUGGGAUAACAUUUCGAAAGGGGUGCUAAUACCGGAUAAGACCACGAGGCCUUAGGGCCAUGGGGUAAAAGGUGGGGACCUUCGGGCCUGCCGAUGUCAGAUGAGUCCGCGUACCAUUAGCUAGUUGGUGGGGUAAAGGCCUACCAAGGCGACGAUGGUUAGCUGGUCUGAGAGGAUGGUCAGCCACACUGGGACUGAGAUACUGCCCAGACUCCUACGGGAGGCUGCAGUCGAGAAUCAUUCGCAAUGGGCGCAAGCCUGACGGUGCGACGUCGCGUGGAGGAUGAAGGUCUUCGGGUUGUAAAGCUCUGUCUGGAGGGACGAACAAAAUAGACGGUACCUCCGGAGGAAGCCACGGACUAACUACGUGCCACGCAGCCGCGGUAAGUCUGUAGUCGU